This 818-nucleotide ribosomal RNA is filed under the name Salmonella enterica. Its description in RNAcentral is "bacterial LSU rRNA". It matches the Rfam family "Bacterial large subunit ribosomal RNA", at positions 711 to 1531 of the family's 2925-position model. Lineage: Bacteria; Pseudomonadati; Pseudomonadota; Gammaproteobacteria; Enterobacterales; Enterobacteriaceae. RNAcentral also lists the same sequence under 4 other names. The record is from RNAcentral.
AGACCCGAAACCCGGUGAUCUAGCCAUGGGCAGGUUGAAGGUUGGGUAACACUAACUGGAGGACCGAACCGACUAAUGUUGAAAAAUUAGCGGAUGACCUGUGGCUGGGGGUGAAAGGCCAAUCAAACCGGGAGAUAGCUGGUUCUCCCCGAAAGCUAUUUAGGUAGCGCCUCGUGAAUUCAUCUCCGGGGGUAGAGCACUGUUUCGGCUAGGGGGCCAUCCCGGCUUACCAACCCGAUGCAAACUGCGAAUACCGGAGAAUGUUAUCACGGGAGACACACGGCGGGUGCUAACGUCCGUCGUGAAGAGGGAAACAACCCAGACCGCCAGCUAAGGUCCCAAAGUCAUGGUUAAGUGGGAAACGAUGUGGGAAGGCCCAGACAGCCAGGAUGUUGGCUUAGAAGCAGCCAUCAUUUAAAGAAAGCGUAAUAGCUCACUGGUCGAGUCGGCCUGCGCGGAAGAUGUAACGGGGCUAAACCAUGCACCGAAGCUGCGGCAGCGACACUGUGUGUUGUUGGGUAGGGGAGCGUUCUGUAAGCCUGUGAAGGUGUGUCGUGAGGCAUGCUGGAGGUAUCAGAAGUGCGAAUGCUGACAUAAGUAACGAUAAAGCGGGUGAAAAGCCCGCUCGCCGGAAGACCAAGGGUUCCUGUCCAACGUUAAUCGGGGCAGGGUGAGUCGACCCCUAAGGCGAGGCCGAAAGGCGUAGUCGAUGGGAAACGGGUUAAUAUUCCCGUACUUGGUGUUACUGCGAAGGGGGGACGGAGAAGGCUAUGUUGGCCGGGCGACGGUUGUCCCGGUUUAAGCGUGUAGGUGUGUGU